GACGAACGCUGGCGGCGUGCUUAACACAUGCAAGUCGAACGGAAAGGCCCUGCUUUUGUGGGGUGCUCGAGUGGCGAACGGGUGAGUAACACGUGAGUAACCUGCCCUUGACUUUGGGAUAACUUCAGGAAACUGGGGCUAAUACCGGAUAGGAGCUCCUGCUGCAUGGUGGGGGUUGGAAAGUUUCGGCGGUUGGGGAUGGACUCGCGGCUUAUCAGCUUGUUGGUGGGGUAGUGGCUUACCAAGGCUUUGACGGGUAGCCGGCCUGAGAGGGUGACCGGCGACAAUGGGACUGAGAGACGGCCCAGACUCCUACGGGAGGCAGCAGUGGGGAAUAUUGCACAAUGGGCGGAAGCCUGAUGCAGCAACGCCGCGUGCGGGAUGACGGCCUUCGGGUUGUAAACCGCUUUCGCCUGUGACGAAGCGUGAGUGACGGUAAUGGGUAAAGAAGCACCGGCUAACUACGUG
Molecule: ribosomal RNA, 468 nt
Filed under: uncultured bacterium
Lineage: Bacteria
Description: partial 16S ribosomal RNA
Rfam family: Bacterial small subunit ribosomal RNA
Source: RNAcentral